Molecule: ribosomal RNA, 253 nt
Filed under: uncultured bacterium
Lineage: Bacteria
Description: partial 16S ribosomal RNA
Rfam family: Bacterial small subunit ribosomal RNA
Source: RNAcentral
UACAGAGGGGGCAAGCGUUAUUCGGAAUUAUUGGGCGUAAAGAGCGUGUAGGCGGCCCGGUAAGUCCGCUGUGAAAGUCGGGGGCUCAACCCUCGAAUGCCGGUGGAUACUGUCGGGCUAGAGUGCGGAAGAGGCGAGUGGAAUUCCUGGUGUAGCGGUGAAAUGCGCAGAUAUCAGGAGGAACACCAAUUGCGAAGGCAGCUCGCUGGGACGUAACUGACGCUGAGACGCGAAAGCGUGGGGAGCAAACAGG